RNAcentral lists this ribosomal RNA (497 nucleotides) under uncultured bacterium. RNAcentral's name for it is "partial 16S ribosomal RNA". It matches the Rfam family "Bacterial small subunit ribosomal RNA", at positions 28 to 507 of the family's 1533-position model. The record is from RNAcentral.
GAUGAACGCUGGCGGCGUGCCUAAUACAUGCAAGUCGAGCGAACAGACGAGGAGCUUGCUCCUCUGACGUUAGCGGCGGACGGGUGAGUAACACGUGGAUAACCUACCUAUAAGACUGGGAUAACUUCGGGAAACCGGAGCUAAUACCGGAUAAUAUAUUGAACCGCAUGGUUCAAUAGUGAAAGCCGGUUUUGCUGUCACUUAUAGAUGGAUCCGCGCCGCAUUAGCUAGUUGGUAAGGUAACGGCUUACCAAGGCAACGAUGCGUAGCCGACCUGAGAGGGUGAUCGGCCACACUGGAACUGAGACACGGUCCAGACUCCUACGGGAGGCAGCAGUAGGGAAUCUUGCGCAAUGGGCGAAAGCUUGACGGAGCAACGCCGCGUGAGUGAUGAAGGUCUUCGGAUCGUAAAACUCUGUUAUUAGGGAAGAACAAAUGUGUAAGUAACUAUGCACGUCUUGACGGUACCUAAUCAGAAAGCCACGGCUAACUACGUG